GAUGGCACUAUUUGAUCGCGACAUAUCACUAGCUCCUUACUGAACUUAACUCCCAUAACUUCGUCCUCCUCGCGGCCAUAGCGAUUUUGAAAAAGUCAGUAAACAAGCAUACCGAGAAAGAUGUCAGAUGUUACGUUACAGUUUAGUUAACAAUCAAGAAAACUCACCAUUGGGGGUAGUCUUCUUGAAUACUUUGACGGCUACAACGUAGGCCAGAAACAAUAUUGGGAACAUUUGGCGCUGUCGUGUGUUUUUCUAAACGAACGAGUGAUUUAGCAGAGAAAUUUGUUUCCCGCCCCAGAAGUGACACAUUCUCAAGCGGUAGGCUCGGGUCUUCAUAUAGUCUCGUCGGGGCUUCCUCUCAUCUUGAAGCCAUACUACUAAUGAGAUUACUUUAUUAUAGACCUGAUUUAAGAGGAUUGCAAGUGACGCAAGGAGAAUUGCCAUAUACAUUAUUUUUGGCGCUGCUGCGCUUAAGGUAUAAACGUUCACUAAACACCGAUAAUGUUGUGACAUGGUAUUCGUAUAUCUGCUUUUGUAAAGCCACAUUCCUACGCGCGCAAACGUCACAAAACUACCAAGUGACUCACUUGCGAUUGUUUCUACGAAGGAAUAAUAAUAUAUACAGGUUUUUCUUCUAUCAGAUGAAGAAUAGAGAAACACUUCUCGUUUUCAGUCUUAAAUUUAUCUUUAUUUCGAUAAUAGAUGCUUACACGAUAUAAUACGGAGGUAUUCCUUUUAGUCAAAAUGAAAUCCCCUGAAUUUUCAAGCGAUCGCUAGUGUAUUUCCACCAUUCCUUUUAAAUGGUAAACGAUAUCUCUAACGCGAGUACCAAGUAGGUAUUAUACUUAGCACUAACAAUUAAACCCGCGUAUAUUUCUUUGUUAUUUCUUCCCACAUUUUCAUGUUCAUUAGUGAUAGACACGCACACGCACGCGCGCAUACACACACACACACACACACACACACACACACACACACACACGUAAUGUGCGUACGUAUAUUCUUUUAUGCGUCGAGUAUGAACACCAUCGGCGCAUAAUACACCCAAAAAUAUCGUGGUAACUGAGAGACACUUUCUUUAUUUUCUUUUGCGCAAUAUAAAAAAGGCAGUAGUUGAAUUUGAAUGCCCCUCGAAUUCGUACGAGAUAUCAUUUCCUCGAUCAUGAUCGUAGGCAUAGUUGAUCGAAGAUUAUUUUACAUUGUGCUUUCUUACUUGAGAACUUUUUAACACAUAUUUUUCUUCUGAUGCUCUUCUAAAUGCCUCUUAAUUCUCGGCGAACUUAAAAAUUUUCACACAUUUGUUGAGAACUGCACGCAGCCAUCGAGACCACCUCUUCUUACUCGCAAGAGUGUCAUUUCUUACUCGAGUAAAAAAAAGGAAAAAAACAUUGCGCGAAGAAUAUAUUAUUACAACGUAAUAAGAACCGCUACAAACUAGAAAAUAAUUUUUUUACGACGACAAUAACAGUAAAUAAUAAUAACUAGUAGUAAUCAUGAUAAACUUGUCUAAUAAUAGGCACAGUUAAAGAGUAUGGUAUAUAAUUGUGUAUUCAUUACUCAGCACUUUUUAUUACAACUACAGAAAUUCGUUGCUACCAGGGAACAGAAAUGCUAACGAGAUUUUAUGAAAUAUUUAUUCCAAAUACUUAUACUUCUCACAAUGCCUCCGUACAAUACGUACUAUAAUCUACACUAUUACCCCCCCCCCCCGACACACUUUUACAGCUGUCUUUUAACGUUUACAUAGUAAAUGAGAUCGUCUUCGUUUUACAAGAAUUUCCAAGAUCAAGAAUGAAAACAAAUGACUGCCAAUAAGAAUAAUUUUGUGACGAAAAAAUAAUUUUACGAUAAAUAUUUAUGAAAGAUGGCAAAUACACUUCUUGGCUAAGUAGAUCUUAAAAUUUUACGUGAAUUCAUUGCAACUUGCCAAAUCAGUCAAAAACAAUUUUAAUAUUAAUUCAACAAGUCCACUAAUAAUUCCACUAAAUAUAUAUAUAUAUCUUGUUGGAUUCUAGUUCAUAAAUAAUUUGUAGAACCCUUCAAUUUAUACAAUCAUACAUUCGAUUCUGUCAUUUUAUUCUUUGUGGAGCAGUUAGAGCUCGAGAAAGGCAAUCUUUAACCAUGUACAUUCCAUACACGGUAUCUCCUACCUCAAAAAUUCGCAAAAUGCAUGUUACACAUAUUUGCGCUAAUGUAUUUAGAGCACUGCCGUAUAUGUUUGAGCAAUAUCUAAACUGUCGCAACAUCAAGGCGAACGAAC
This 2263-nucleotide long non-coding RNA is filed under the name Ooceraea biroi (clonal raider ant). RNAcentral's name for it is "uncharacterized LOC105275522". Lineage: Eukaryota; Metazoa; Arthropoda; Insecta; Hymenoptera; Formicidae. The record is from RNAcentral.